This 74-nucleotide transfer RNA is filed under the name Dreissena polymorpha. RNAcentral describes it as "transfer RNA arginine (anticodon UCU)". It matches the Rfam family "tRNA". From Rfam's summary of the family: Transfer RNA (tRNA) molecules are approximately 80 nucleotides in length. Their secondary structure includes four short double-helical elements and three loops (D, anti-codon, and T loops). The record is from Rfam by way of RNAcentral. Lineage: Eukaryota; Metazoa; Mollusca; Bivalvia; Myida; Dreissenidae.
GUCCCCGUAGCGCAGUGAAUAGCGCGCUGGACUUCUAAUCCAGAGGGUCGCGGGUUCGAAUCCCACCGGGAAUG